UACACUCCUGCGGGAGGCAGCAGUGGGGAAUUUUGGACAAUGGGCGAAAGCCUGAUCCAGCAAUGCCGCGUGAGUGAAGAAGGCCUUCGGGUUGUAAAGCUCUUUUGUCAGGGAAGAAACGGUGAAAGCUAAUAUCUUUUGCUAAUGACGGUACCUGAAGAAUAAGCACCGGCUAACUACGUGCCAGCAGCCGCGGUAAUACGUAGGGUGCAAGCGUUAAUCGGAAUUACUGGGCGUAAAGCGUGCGCAGGCGGUUUUGUAAGUCUGAUGUGAAAUCCCCGGGCUCAACCUGGGAAUUGCAUUGGGGACUGCAAGGCUAGAAUCUUGCAGAGGGGGGUAGAAUUCCACGUGUAGCAGUGAAAUGCGUAGAUAUGUGGAGGAACACCGAUGGCGAAGGCAGCCCCCUGGGUCAAGAUUGACGCUCAUGCACGAAAGCGUGGGGAGCAAACAGGAUUAGAAACCCUAGUAGUCCCAU
RNAcentral lists this ribosomal RNA (475 nucleotides) under uncultured organism. RNAcentral describes it as "partial 16S ribosomal RNA". It matches the Rfam family "Bacterial small subunit ribosomal RNA", at positions 332 to 798 of the family's 1533-position model. The record is from RNAcentral.